UACGAAGGGGGCUAGCGUUGCUCGGAAUCACUGGGCGUAAAGCGCACGUAGGCGGAUCCUUAAGUCGGGGGUGAAAUCCUGGAGCUCAACUCCAGAACUGCCUUCGAUACUGAGGAUCUCGAGUCCGGGAGAGGUGAGUGGAACUGCGAGUGUAGAGGUGAAAUUCGUAGAUAUUAGGAAGAACACCGGUGGCGAAGGCGGCCCACUGGUCCGGUACUGACGCUGAGGUGCGAAAGCGUGGGGAGCAAACAGG
This 253-nucleotide ribosomal RNA is filed under the name uncultured bacterium. Its description in RNAcentral is "partial 16S ribosomal RNA". It matches the Rfam family "Bacterial small subunit ribosomal RNA", at positions 524 to 776 of the family's 1533-position model. The record is from RNAcentral.